UAUAAGUUUUCCUUUAUCCACAAAAAGAAAUGAAUCCACAGUAGAAUAUGAUAAAUAUUGAAUACUAUAGUAAAUGUCGAAAAUAACCAGCUCCUGUUGACAUUAGCCAUCUAGAUUAAGAGGUAAUGGGAAAAAUAACCAGCUCCUGUUGACAUUAGCCAUCUGGAUUAAGAGGUAACGGGAAAAAUAACCAGCUCCUGUUGACAUUAGCCAUCUAAAUUUAGAGGUAACAGGAAAAAUAACCAGCUCCUGUUGACAUUAGCCAUCUAGAUUAAGAGGUAAUGGGAAAAAUAACCAGCUCCUGUUGACAUUAGCCAUCUAGAUUAAGAGGUAACCGGAAAAAUAACCAGCUCCUGUUGACAUUAGCCAUCUAGAUUAAGAGGUAACGGGAAAAAUAACCAGCUCCUGUUGACAUUAGCCAUCUAAAUUUAGAGGUAAUGGGAAAAGAGUUGGUUAGUUUGUGUUUUUUUUUUUGCUUUUCAUAACAACUAGAAAUGACAUGAAUUACCUUGAUAAUUAAGGGAAAUAAAACAAGUUUUGCAUAAACAGUGAGAUCAUGGAUGGUUACAUUCUAGUGGAAUAUAAAGAGGAAAAAACAAAGGAUCAGAUUUAUUUAGACAAUAUCCAAAAGUCAAACAACUGAAGCUCAACAUUUACCAAUUGAAAACUAUACACCAUGACAUGUUUGUAAUUACCUAUAGGUCACCAUUUGGCUUUCAACAACAAACAAAAUCCAUUCUGUAUAGUCAGCUUUAAAAGGCCCAACUAUGAGAAAAGGUGAAACAAUACAAGUAAGAAUAUUAAUGGCCUGAUUUGUAACAAAACCAUUUACAAAAAACAGACAUGAACCAUCGACAACCACUGGAUUACAGGCUCCUGACUAGGAACAGACAUAUACAUAAUGUGGUGGAUGAACCCUCAUCUUAUAAGGGACAGUGGUGUAAAAGCAUAAGAUAAGAACAUGCUGUAAAGAUCAGCAGUUAAGCAUACAAAACAACUAACAUAAAAACAUGAAUUAUUGUAUGACUUCUCCAUGAGUCACAUUUACAUAAAACUUGAGGAUGUUUUAAUGGCCUACCUUAUUUUCA
Molecule: long non-coding RNA, 1088 nt
Organism: Mytilus californianus (California mussel)
Lineage: Eukaryota; Metazoa; Mollusca; Bivalvia; Mytilida; Mytilidae
Exons: 3
Source: RefSeq, a predicted model, not a curated record